RNAcentral lists this ribosomal RNA (280 nucleotides) under uncultured bacterium. Its description in RNAcentral is "partial 16S ribosomal RNA". It matches the Rfam family "Bacterial small subunit ribosomal RNA", at positions 77 to 354 of the family's 1533-position model. The record is from RNAcentral.
AAACUUUUAGUAUGGCGACCGGCGCACGGUGAGUAACACGUAUCCAACCUGCCUCAUACUCGGGGAGUAGCCUUUCGUAAAGAAAAGAAUUAAUACCCGACUGUCAUAGUCCUACCGCAUGAUGGGAUUAUUAAAGAAUUUCGGUAUGGGAUGGGGAUGCGUUCCAUUAGUUAGUUGGCGGGGUAACGGCCCACCAAGACAACGAUGGAUAGGGGUUCUGAGAGGAAGGUCCCCCACAUUGGAACUGAGACACGGUCCAAACUCCUACGGAAGGCAGCAG